GAGGGUAUAGCUCAGUGGCAGAGCACAUGCUUAGCAUGCAUGAGGUCCCCUGUGCCGCCUCUAAAAACAAAGAAAUAAAUAAACCUAAUUACCUUCC
RNAcentral lists this transfer RNA (97 nucleotides) under Camelus bactrianus (Bactrian camel). It matches the Rfam family "tRNA". Rfam says of the family: Transfer RNA (tRNA) molecules are approximately 80 nucleotides in length. Their secondary structure includes four short double-helical elements and three loops (D, anti-codon, and T loops). RNAcentral also lists the same sequence under 2 other names. The record is from Rfam by way of RNAcentral. Lineage: Eukaryota; Metazoa; Chordata; Mammalia; Artiodactyla; Camelidae.